RNAcentral lists this ribosomal RNA (256 nucleotides) under uncultured bacterium. Its description in RNAcentral is "partial 16S ribosomal RNA". It matches the Rfam family "Bacterial small subunit ribosomal RNA", at positions 521 to 776 of the family's 1533-position model. The record is from RNAcentral.
UAAGACAGAGGGUGCAAACGUUGUUCGGAAUUACUGGGCGUAAAGCGCGUGUAGGCGGCCCUGCAAGUCGGGUGUGAAAUCCCACGGCUCAACCGUGGAAGUGCACUCGAAACUGCAGGGCUAGAGUCCUGGAGAGGAAGGUGGAAUGCUUGGUGUAGAGGUGAAAUUCGUAGAUAUCAAGCGGAACACCGGUGGCGAAGGCGGCCUUCUGGACAGUGACUGACGCUGAGACGCGAAAGCGUGGGGAGCAAACAGG